Homo sapiens (human) is the source of this 1221-nucleotide long non-coding RNA. Ensembl annotates it as chromosome 5 putative open reading frame 64. Its record names the gene C5orf64. Lineage: Eukaryota; Metazoa; Chordata; Mammalia; Primates; Hominidae. The record is from Ensembl.
GGAGCUGCAAACUGCCCUCAGGGCAAAGAAGCCUGCAGAAUAAUUGGGAGGAGUCUGGCAGGAAGGAAGCCAAGUUUCCUGAGGCCCUCACCAGAAGCUCAUCAGAAGCAGAUGCUGGCACCACUCUUCUUAUGCUGUCUGCGUAACUAAUCAGUAUUUCAAGCAUCCAAAAUGUGUAGGAGAAUAUGGACCCAAGAACGGAGCAGAGAGACAAAUAGAGGAACGGAAAGUUUUGCCUACAACCAUGAUGUUCUCAAUGUUAGCUGACUGUGUUCUAAAAUCCACUCCAAUUCCCAUUUUGGGAGUUGCUAUGUGAUGAAGGUCUGCCCCUGUGGUGUUGGGACAACUUGCUCAUGGAGUUGCAGUUCUUGCCUAACAGGAACCCACCAUGGAACUUGGUAAAGAAUCCCAAAGUAAGCAAUUGAAGAGGGCAUGUGGAGACACAGCGAGGACAGCCAGACCCAAACUGUUCAACCUACCCCAGCUCAGAUAUCACAUACAUGAGUGAAGGAUUUGCUCUAGAAGAAACCACAUGGAGAAGAAUGGAGGGCCCAGACAGUGGCCUUUUGUUUUGUGUGGGGAAUACCCAUCCUCAGCUAUUUGAGCCACCCCAGCUGAAGCCACAGACUUUGUGGGACAGAGAAAAACAGUCCCUACUUGUGCCCUGACUAAAUUUCAGACUUCCAGAGUCACAAGCAUAAUACAAUAAUUGUUGUUUUACACCCCCAUAUUUUGGGGUGGUUUGUUACACACCAAUAGAUACCUGGGAUAGUAUGUUUUUGAAGCUCUUGGCACAUAAUAAAUUAGUUCCCAGCACAGAGUAUAGCAUUUUAAGAAUUCCCUUCUAAGUAAGCAGCCAAAGUGUUUCUUUGUAUAGAAUUUAGAGGUUGCCAUGUUUUGUACCAACUGUCUAGGCUUAGACCAGGGAUUGUGUCUGACCCUCAGAAGGUUGGCCUGCAUCCUAGGAGAUGGCCUGGUUAGGAGCUCUGGGAGAAAGUUAUGGGCCAGAGGCUGGGAAGCAAUGCAAACUCUAAGAAGGAGAAGCCAUGAGGAGGAAGAGGAGAUGACAAGAUCACCUUCCAGUUCUCCGUGAACUGGGGAGUCUGGGUGUGAUGGGCGUUGUAAUUUGAAUGAUGUUCUAGUAUUCUGUCUUUCUUCCCUGUGAACAUCAACAGUACCCAUUAACUGGAGCAUCCUGAAUAAAUGGUUCUUGCAUCUGCA